UACGUAGGGGGCAAGCGUUGUCCGGAUUUAUUGGGCGUAAAGAGCGUGUAGGCGGCCAAAUAGGUCAGCUGUGAAAACUCGAGGCUCAACCUCGAGAUGUCGGCUGAAACCAUCUGGCUAGAGUCCGGAAGAGGAGAAUGGAAUUCCCGGUGUAGCGGUGAAAUGCGCAGAUAUCGGGAAGAACACCCGUGGCGAAGGCGGUUUUCUAGUUUAUUCCUGACGCUCAUGCCCGAAAGCUAGGGGAGCAAACAGG
Molecule: ribosomal RNA, 253 nt
Filed under: uncultured bacterium
Lineage: Bacteria
Description: partial 16S ribosomal RNA
Rfam family: Bacterial small subunit ribosomal RNA
Source: RNAcentral